Molecule: ribosomal RNA, 253 nt
Filed under: uncultured bacterium
Lineage: Bacteria
Description: partial 16S ribosomal RNA
Rfam family: Bacterial small subunit ribosomal RNA
Source: RNAcentral
UACGGAGGGGGCUAGCGUUGUUCGGAUUUACUGGGCGUAAAGCGCACGUAGGCGGUGUGCAUAGUCAGAGGUGAAAGCCCGGGGCUCAACCCCGGAACUGCCUUUGAUACUUGCAUGCUAGAAUCCGUGAGAGGGUAGUGGAAUUCCUAGUGUAGAGGUGAAAUUCGUAGAUAUUAGGAAGAACACCAGUGGCGAAGGCGACUACCUGGCACGGCAUUGACGCUGAUGUGCGAAAGCGUGGGGAGCGAACAGG